AUUGAACGCUGGCGGCAGGCCUAACACAUGCAAGUCGAACGAGUGGCGGACGGUUGAGUAAUGUCUGGGAAACUGCCCGAUGGUGGGGGAUAACUCCUGGAAACGGUAGCGAAUACCGCAUACCAUCGGAUGUGCCCAGAUGGGAUGAGCUAGUAGGUGGGGUAACGGCUCACCUAGGAGACGAUCACUAGCUGGUCUGAGAGGAUGACCAGCCACCCUGGAACGUAGAAACGGUCCAGAUGCCUACGGGAGGCAGCAGUGUGGAAGAUUGCACAAUGGACGCAAGCCGGAUGCAGCCAUGCCGCGUGUAUGAAGAAGGCCUUCGGGUUGUAAAAUACUUUCAGCGCGGAGGCGUUACUCGCAGAGGAAGCACCGGCUAACGCCGUGCCAGCAGCCGCGGUAAUUC
This 406-nucleotide ribosomal RNA is filed under the name uncultured bacterium. RNAcentral describes it as "partial 16S ribosomal RNA". It matches the Rfam family "Bacterial small subunit ribosomal RNA", at positions 30 to 526 of the family's 1533-position model. The record is from RNAcentral.